CACGUAGGGCGCAAGCGUUGUCCGGAAUUAUUGGGCGUAAAGAGCUCGUAGGCGGUCUGUUGCGUCCGCUGUGAAAACUCGGGGCUUAACCCCGAGCCUGCAGUGGAUACGGGCAGACUAGAGGUAGGUAGGGGAGAAUGGAAUUCCCGGUGUAGCGGUGAAAUGCGCAGAUAUCGGGAGGAACACCGGUGGCGAAGGCGGGACUCUGGGCCGAUACUGAUGCUGAGGAGCGAAAGCGUGGGGAGCAAACAGG
This 253-nucleotide ribosomal RNA is filed under the name uncultured bacterium. RNAcentral describes it as "partial 16S ribosomal RNA". It matches the Rfam family "Bacterial small subunit ribosomal RNA", at positions 524 to 776 of the family's 1533-position model. The record is from RNAcentral.